Molecule: RNA transcript, 253 nt
Organism: Bombus terrestris (buff-tailed bumblebee)
Lineage: Eukaryota; Metazoa; Arthropoda; Insecta; Hymenoptera; Apidae
Exons: 2
Source: RefSeq, a predicted model, not a curated record
GCUAUGAUAAAGUAAGUUUAGAGUGCCAUCUACCUGCUAUGAAGAUUUUGUUACGCGUGACGUUGGAUUGUUAAGACUAUUUUCGUUCAUUCUGUUGAAAGUGUACCACGCGGAAGACAACGUUUAUCAACCAUCACGGUGUGAGUACGUUAUAGAGGAAUUAAGACAGUGUUGUAUAAAACAUUCUGCUAUUUCGUUAGUCUGUGAUGGUAUAGAUACUUCCAAACCAUACGAACAUAAUACAGUUGAUUAC